Molecule: ribosomal RNA, 484 nt
Filed under: uncultured bacterium
Lineage: Bacteria
Description: partial 16S ribosomal RNA
Rfam family: Bacterial small subunit ribosomal RNA
Source: RNAcentral
AUUGAACGCUGGCGGCAGGCCUAACACAUGCAAGUCGAGCGGAUGAAGGGAGCUUGCUCCUGGAUUCAGCGGCGGACGGGUGAGUAAUGCCUAGGAAUCUGCCUGGUAGUGGGGGAUAACGUCCGGAAACGGGCGCUAAUACCGCAUACGUCCUGAGGGAGAAAGUGGGGGAUCUUCGGACCUCACGCUAUCAGAUGAGCCUACGUCGGAUUAGCUAGUUGGUGGGGUAAAGGCCUACCAAGGCGACGAUCCGUAACUGGUCUGAGAGGAUGAUCAGUCACACUGGAACUGAGACACGGUCCAGACUCCUACGGGAGGCAGCAGUGGGGAAUAUUGGACAAUGGGCGAAAGCCUGAUCCAGCCAUGCCGCGUGUGUGAAGAAGGUCUUCGGAUUGUAAAGCACUUUAAGUUGGGAGGAAGGGCAGUAAGUUAAUACCUUGCUGUUUUGACGUUACCAACAGAAUAAGCACCGGCUAACUUCGUG